Molecule: long non-coding RNA, 3055 nt
Organism: Chroicocephalus ridibundus (black-headed gull)
Lineage: Eukaryota; Metazoa; Chordata; Aves; Charadriiformes; Laridae
Exons: 7
Source: RefSeq, a predicted model, not a curated record
CACGCAUUUCAUCAACGGUGUGGCAAAUCCCGCAGCCUAUAGAGCGACACAAUCCGACCUCCAAGAGAUGAUGGUCUUCAGCUCCUGCUCUUGUAAGAGAUGCCAGUGACCAGAUGGAGCACUAAAGAAGAGCCAAUAAUAUCUGAACUUACGGACCUUUGAUUGUGGAAUUGUAAAAGCAGGCAGCAGUGCUAGCCACACCAGGGAAGAAACAUUUCAAGCUCCUUUUGUUAGUUUAUACCGAGGAUCCGUUCAGCAGUGUCUAAAUGCCAGCUAGCAGACCAGAGUCAGAGGACUUUCAGCAAUCUCAUUAUAAACCUGCUGUGGAGAAAUUUAUGAGACUGCUAUAAAACUUCACUCAAGGCUGAUCAGUGCCAAAGAACAUUCCUUUUCCACUUAAAAAUAACGUGUGGCUGCUGUUUAUAAAUGAUAGGGUUACAAAAGUGGAGAGGGAGAGGCGGAUUUUCAAAGGCAUAAAUUGGGGUUGGACACCCAUUCUCUCUUUCUUGGAAUAUCGGUCAAUAAAUUCCAAACAAAAAAGUUGCAGUUAAACCAUCGGCCAGAUCAAACUCCUGAUUAAAGCCAGCCCCGCUCCUCCUGUCACGUCUGAUGGCCUUUCGCUCAGAAAUGCAAACCAAUUUUCCAAGGGAGGAAAGGACCUGUUACAAACGUGAGUUACAAAUAAGUAAUACAGUGGGGAAAACUAUGAAAACUACCUUAGAAGAACAUACAUAUUUAAGUGAAAAAGGGGAAUCAGUGCCUGCAAAAAAUGUUACAAAAGAAUCUUCCAAAAGAAUCUGAGCCUCUGUGUAAAUACGGAAAAUAUCAUCUAACUGUUGUGAAGUCCAGAAUGUAUUAACGUCGCAUCCCAUGAUGUCAAUGCUGCUUUAGUACAAUUUUGCAGAGGCAUCGGAACUACUUUGCUGAAAUAAAGAAGAUAAACAGUGAUUCCUGAGCCUGACGCAGAAAUAGCAGUAUGAAGACAGUAAAGAAAAUAACUUCAGUGAAAGAAGAGAAUUGGGAAGAAAAAUCCACUGGAGCUAAAAUUGAAGAAAUAGGGAAGAAAAACCAUAAACUACAGCAUACCUUCAAAACAUUUGCACAGUUUCCUAUAUUUCGUCUGACUUCAGGUGUAUGAUGAAAGCUGGUUCCCAGCGCUUGCUCUGGGUCUCCGAGGAUGAAGACGGCCGAUCCCCGGUGCUGUAUCCUGAAGAGAGACGUAGCAAAGGAAUCAAAGCAGCUAAAAGAAUCGUCUUUCCCCCACCGAUGUGUCCAGCCACCACCUGUUUUGGAGGCGCUUUCCUGGGAGGUGAGAGAUGCACGACGGAGAACUGUGUUUCCUCCGAUUUUUUGAACGUUGCUUUAGCGCGUAGGCUCUGAGCAAGGGGCUUUAGCAAUGGCAUCACAGCCGUUCCGAAAACAAGUGAUUGCUACCAAUCCUUUUUGUUGUGAGUCCCGUCCUUUGAAACAUUCAAGGCAAAAUUUAAGAACAUUGAACGGAGAUCUUUGGGGGAUUUACUGGAAGAGCAAGUGUUUUGUGGCUUUUAAGCAGGCUGAACAUAAAUGUCGAGUAGUGAAAAAAUUUUUUUCAGAACUGGGACAUAUGUAAGAAACUUUAAGAUCAAAAACUUCUUUAGAAUGCAGUUUAAUUAAGCUGCGUUAUAGGAUAGAUUUUGAGUGGAUUUCAAUGCUUGCCAUUUUGGACUUCGACUGUUGGAAAACUCCAGCCAAGUCUGAUUCAGACGCCUGCCUUCCUCGAGUUAGCGAUACCCUUCCUGCAGGUGUAGUAAGUGUUGGUAAAUUUUCUUUGUGACAUCACAUACGGACUGCAGAAUAUCUUCGUCCUGAUGUAAAACGUGUUUAACGAGUGCAGUAUCUCAAUAUCUCUGUUUUCUGGUACGGAGCACCUUCUCAGAUGACACUUUUCAGCGAAGCCGAAGCUGUAUCCUUCAUAAUGAAGCCACGAAAUUAGUUCACUCCUCUCUUGUUCAUGUGCCACUUUUUUAUUGGAUUUUUGUGUAGACGACUACAAUCGCUAAUCAGGCACUCUUCAUUUGAGCAAUUUUACACUUCUCUAAUUAUGAAUGUAUUGACCUAUGCAUACGUAACAGUGUUUAAAAUGCUGGAGGUCAUCUUUGAAUGCAUUUUAAUGCCAUAAUUGCAAAAUCUGCAUGAGUGGUUUCACUUUCUAGAAAGAAGGCCCACAAGGCAUAACUGUUAUGAAGAAUUUCCAAAUUAUAUUCAGUUAUUUUCUGUUCACACAUUUGACAUUUUGUGGAUUUUUUUGUUUCAUACUGUACAACCUUUUAAAAAAUAUUCGCACUUUCAGCGAUUGUUCCGAUAAAACACCAAAAUGGCUUUUAGUACUGUCUUUCACUAUUUUUUAUUUUCAUCUCGCCAUCGUUAUCUCAUUUCUCAUUACCUUCUAGUCUGACACUACAUAAUAGGUCUUUAGGAGAAAGAGUGCUGGCCUUCAAGUAGGUAUGAGACCAUUUUUAUUCCUAAUAUUUAUCUCUGUAAGAGCGUAUCCACUGUAUAGACGGUGAUAGUACAUGCGCAUAGCGCGUUAUUAGUUAUAUAUAUCUGGCAAUUCAUAGUGCAUGUGCCCUACCAGUGUCUCUGUGAUGUUCUGUUUCUGUAUAACACCAUAGAUAACCUGCGGGAGCAGUACUGCAGUCGCAAAUUUAUGGUCCCAACAUAGAGGCUCUGAAGCGAUUACACUGAUAGGUCUUUGUUUUAAUAAUGUGAAAAUUUAUCUUCUACAUGUUGAGAGCAGAAGCUCAACAGUCGUUAUUCUAAUAGCUUUUCUGAUGAGUUGAUAUUGUAUAAAAGAAAGGUGUUAGGUCUUUGGUUUAAUGUUUGCAUUAGAGGAUAUACUACAUUCAACAAGGGUUUAGUGUGUAUCGGUGAAAUAUUUUCAUGCCUUGAAAGGACCAGCAUCACAUUCCGUGACGGUUACUCAUCUCUGGAAAUAUUUCAGUUUUGUUAUUAGAAACAAUGAGGGAGUUCUUACGACCACAAAAAUUAAUUUGGAUUUAACUCUUGUUUCCCUUUA